Long non-coding RNA from Cavia porcellus (domestic guinea pig), 1453 nucleotides. RefSeq lists it as uncharacterized. The record is from RefSeq and is a predicted model, not a curated record. NCBI's taxonomy places the organism in Eukaryota, Metazoa, Chordata, Mammalia, Rodentia, Caviidae. The transcript has 3 exons.
ACACAGUAAAUUUAGUACACGGAAUUUGUGAGUGAGGACAAAGAGUGGGGAGUGAAAUAAUUCAUAGAUGACAACACCAGUGAGACAUCACCACACGCUGGAUUUGGACAAAGUCAAUUAGGUACAUUCAAAAGGCACAGGAAGCAGCUGACACCACCUUGGAGAACAUCAGUGACUGUGGAAGCAAUACGUGGGCUUGAAGGGCCUGCCAUGCCAGCAAUGAUUACACCUACCAGCCAGCUCCUGUUUCCUAAACGUGACUCCCACGAACAGAACAAAGUGUCCUUAAAGGAAUGGCUGAUAUCAAACUGGGAUAAGGAAAGUACAAGAUGAACUUAGAAUCUAUUUUUGUGCCAGAAGAAAACACUGCCCAAAGAAUGUCAAAGGACACGUCAAAAGGAUAUAUAAGUAAGCUUGAAGGUGUUAUUACUGGGCAGACUUGGAAGAAUUUGAGAGUCAAAAUAAACAGUGGUAAGCAGAUAAUGUCAUUGCACAAAAUAAUGAUCUAAGUGUCCCUACAGACUAAAUAAUGAGUGAAGAAACUAGGGAAGAGGUAAAUCUCUUCCCCAAAACAAAAACUAAUACUGAUGAUGCACUUUGAAAAUCAUCACUUGGUAUCCACUGCAAUAAUUAAUCCAGGUAAGAACCAUUGACAGGGGCUCACAGUAGGAUGCACAGUGGCUGAAAACAGGCUUUUGUAUUCUCUCAAAAUCUCUCCCCGCACAGUACUGGGUAAUUACAUGAUGUGGACUGACUUUUCACUAGAGGACCUAGUAAAGGUGACCUCAGCAACAACAGGAAAACUUCAUCCUGCGGCCCCUGAGACGAUGUCGAUGAUAACACACAGCACCGAGCUUCUCUGAUGUUCCAGCCAAAGGUGAGCAGCCUGGACAUCCUCAUGUGGAAACACCAAGCAGAAACUGAGAGAGCUAUAAAAACAACUGGGUUUUAAUCUUCAAAAAUAUUAAGGUCGUGAGAGUUGGAGAAAUUGUUGCACGUUGUAGGAAACAGUUCUCCAGAUUUAGUAGAUACUCAGUGACUCCAUAACCAAUGUAUCUUCCUUUAUCUAAUAGCUCCCCUAUAAAAGGAUAUUGGUCCAACACUCAUGGAAUGUUGACCUCUAAAGAAGAGAUAUAUUUUAAUACAUAUAUACACAGAAUUGGAUGAUGGUUACACAUACUUCAUAAGCUUUCACCUGACUAGACCAACACCUGAUUCAUUGAUGAGCAGCACUCAUCACCUAGGCUUGUGUUUAAGGGACAUGAAAGACUCUCGUAUACCAUUUCUGCUUACUUUUCAGAUUUAGUAGCAAGAAAGUGGAGGGCAAGAAAAGGUGAUUCUGGUGCUGUGUCCACCUCGAAUCACUGACCUCAUUGGCCUCCCUAUCACAGCCUCUGUAGCUCUAGUGCAGUCCACCAACACAUCACGCACAUGGUACUGAGUAGUUCAGGAA